GGGCUCGUGGCGGAAUGGCAGACGCGCUGGACUUAGGAUCCAGUCCCGCACGGGGUCCGGGUUCAAGUCCCGGCGAGCCCA
Molecule: transfer RNA, 81 nt
Filed under: Candidatus Methylacidithermus pantelleriae
Lineage: Bacteria; Pseudomonadati; Verrucomicrobiota; Methylacidiphilae; Methylacidiphilales; Methylacidiphilaceae
Rfam family: tRNA
About the family: Transfer RNA (tRNA) molecules are approximately 80 nucleotides in length.
Source: Rfam by way of RNAcentral